AACGAACGCUGGCGGCAUGCCUAACACAUGCAAGUCGAACGAGACCUUCGGGUCUAGUGGCGCACGGGUGCGUAACGCGUGGGAACCUGCCCUUAGGUUCGGAAUAACUCCCCGAAAGGGGUGCUAAUACCGGAUAAUGUCUUCGGACCAAAGAUUUAUCGCCUUUGGAUGGGCCCGCGUUGGAUUAGCUAGUUGGUAGGGUAAAAGCCUACCAAGGCGACGAUCCAUAGCUGGUCUGAGAGGAUGAUCAGCCACACUGGGACUGAGACACGGCCCAGACUCCUACGGGAGGCAGCAGUGGGGAAUAUUGGACAAUGGGCGAAAGCCUGAUCCAGCAAUGCCGCGUGAGUGAUGAAGGCCGUAGGGUUGUAAAGCUCUUUUACCCGGGAUGAUAAUGACAGUACCGGGAGAAUAAGCACCGGCUAACUCCGUG
This 433-nucleotide ribosomal RNA is filed under the name uncultured bacterium. Its description in RNAcentral is "partial 16S ribosomal RNA". It matches the Rfam family "Bacterial small subunit ribosomal RNA", at positions 29 to 507 of the family's 1533-position model. The record is from RNAcentral.